GGGUUCUCAGUGGGAAUCAUUGGGUUUUGUUGGGUUGUGAAUGGGGUUUGUUGGGUUCUGGAUGGGAUUUGUUGGGUUCUGGAUGGGAUUUGUUGGGUUCCGGAUGGGAUUUGUUGGGUUUUGUUGGGUUCCGGAUGGGAUUUGUUGGGUUUUAUUGGGUUCUCAUUGGGGUUUGCAGGGGUCUCAUUGGGUUUGGAGGAUCUCAGUGGGGUUUCCUGGAAUCUCAUUGGGUUUGCUGGGAUCUCAGUGGGUUUGGAGGAUCUCAGUGGGUUUUGUGGGAUCUCAGUGGUGUUUGGUGGAUCUCAGUGCGGUUUGGUGGGAUCUCAGUGGGUUUGGUGGAUCUCAUUGGGGUUUGCUGGGAUCUCAUUGGGUUUGCUGGGAUCUCAGUGGGUUUAUUUGGAUCUCAUUGGGUUCGGUGGGAUCUCAUUGGGGUUUGGUGGAUGUCAGUGGGGUUUGGAGGAUCUCAGUGGGGUUCGGUGGGAUCUCAGUGGGGUUUGGUGGGAUCUCAGUGGGGUUUAUUGGGAUCUCAUUGGGUUUGGAGGAUCUCAUUGGGUUCGGUGGGAUCUCAGUGGGGUUUAUUGGGAUCUCAGUGGGGUUUAUUGGGAUCUCAUUGGGUUUGGCGGAUCUCAUUGGGGUUUGCUGGGAUCUCAGUGGGGUUUGGUGGAUCUCAGUGGGUUUGCUGGGAUCUCAGUGGGUUUGGAGGAUCUCAGUGGGGUUUGCUGGGAUCUCAUUGGGGUUUCGCUGGGA
RNAcentral lists this long non-coding RNA (747 nucleotides) under Phasianus colchicus (ring-necked pheasant). Its description in RNAcentral is "lncRNA (ENSPCLG00000016514.1)". Lineage: Eukaryota; Metazoa; Chordata; Aves; Galliformes; Phasianidae. The record is from RNAcentral.